UUACACAUGCAAGUCGUGCGAGAAAGUAUCUUCGGAUAUGAGUAGAGCGGCGGACGGGUGAGUAACGCGUAGGAAUCUACCUAGCAGAAGGGGAUAGCCCGGGGAAACCCGGAUUAAUACCGUAUACCUCCUUCGGGAGAAAGAAGGCCUCUCUUUGAAGCUUUCGCUAUUAGAUGAGCCUGCGUAAGAUUAGCUUGUUGGUGAGGUAAAGGCUCACCAAGGCGACGAUCUUUAGCUGGUCUGAGAGGACGAUCAGCCACAUUGGGACUGAGACACGGCCCAGACUCCUACGGGAGGCAGCAGUGGGGAAUAUUGGACAAUGGGCGCAAGCCUGAUCCAGCCAUACCGCGUGUGUGAAGAAGGCCUUCGGGUUGUAAAGCACUUUAAGCAGGGAGAAAAAGUUAUAAGUUAAUACCUUAUAACCGUGAUGUUACCUGCAGAAUAAGCACCGGCUAAUUCCGUGCCAGCAGCCGCGGUAAUACGGAAGGUGCAAGCGUUAAUCGGAAUUACUGGGCGUAAAGCGCGCG
This 527-nucleotide ribosomal RNA is filed under the name uncultured bacterium. RNAcentral's name for it is "bacterial SSU rRNA". It matches the Rfam family "Bacterial small subunit ribosomal RNA", at positions 49 to 571 of the family's 1533-position model. The record is from RNAcentral.